Long non-coding RNA from Prinia subflava (tawny-flanked prinia), 9068 nucleotides. RefSeq lists it as uncharacterized. The transcript is spliced from 4 exons. The record is from RefSeq and is a predicted model, not a curated record. NCBI's taxonomy places the organism in Eukaryota, Metazoa, Chordata, Aves, Passeriformes, Cisticolidae.
CAGGAGCUCUGAACUCUCCCUGCAUCCUUCUCCUCUCCAGGUGAGCACCCCCAGCUCUCCCAGCCUGGCUCCAGAGGGGCUCCAGCCCUUGGAGCAUCCCCAUGGCCUCUUCUGGAAUCCCUCCAGCGGCUCCGGGUCCUUCCUGUGCUGCGGCUCCCAGGGCUGGAUGCUCCAGGUGGGGUCCCAGUAAGAACACCCAGAGCAUUUCCAGCUUCUGCUGCUGGCAAGGCUCCCAACACCUCCCGCACCAUCCUGUUUUCCUGAUCAGAUUUUUCCUGACCAGAUUUCCUCACGUCCAUCUCCAGAAAACACAGUCCUGGGAUCAGAGGUGAUUUCAGGGCAGUCCAGGUGAUUGCUGGGCUGGGGAACAGCGAGCUGGAUCUUGGCAGCUCCGAGCAAAGACAAUUUUAGCUCCUUGCUGAGUGUGCACAGCCCGAGGCUGCAUCCCAAAGAUGCUUUACUUGGGUGGCUGCAGUGGAAACCGUUCCCUCUGGAGGCCGUGGCUGUGCCGGGCUGCGCGGGGAGGGAAUUGUGGAUGGAAUAAGCGGAUGUGAUGCCUGGGAGGAAGGAAGGAUGCCCAUUGUUCUGCCCGGGAUGAAGGGCUGCUGCUGCUGCUGAGUCAGGGCAGGGAGGAAGGGAAGCAGGAGCAGGAUGUGGAGUGCAGAUGCAUCCGUCCCUGAGGGGGGAACUCUGCUGAACCCUGAGUGUGCCCAGGGCUCUGCUCUGCCUCACCUGCUCUAAUGUUGGCAUUCAGCUCCCAACCUUCUCCUAACGCAGGGUAAACCCGCAGUAAAUCCCAGCCCCUGCCUUGUCCCGGGCUGCGCUGCAGCUGGGCAGUCACUGCUCAGAACCUUUCCACCGUUCAAGCUCUCAGUCCCGAAACAGCUUCGAGCAAAUCCAAAGGAAUCUCCUUUUUGUCUCGCCUUGGAGACUGAUAAAACAUUCAGAUCUUCCCCGGGGUGUGUGUCCCUGACCAAACACUGUGAGAGGAGCAUGGGGAGAGCCUCGGUGCUGCCCUGGUGUGUGCUGAUGCUGCAGAGAGCUCAGCUCUGCCUGGGAAUGCACGGGAGCAUCAGGGUGAUGAGCUCUGCCUGUGCUCUGAGCACACACUGCCCAUCCAGGGCCAGGAGGGAUCACAUUUCCCAGAUCUGCUGCUGAGAAUUUGCCAGAAGAAAAUUGUCUCUUUGGGGGUUGUUUGCCUGGAUCCAAAGGGGGAAUGAGCCCCACUGCUGGCAGGGAGGUCAGAGGGGCUCUCAGAGGGUCUGUCUGGAGUCCUGAUGGCCCCAGGACAGAAACUGCUCCUGCUCAGAGCAAAUAUUUUAGGAAUGUCCUUCUCUAUUUUUAUGUCUUUUUUUUUUUCCUCCAGUGUCUGCUGAGAACUUGAAGAAAAGCUUAAACAGGACAAGAGGAUGGAUUUUGAAUAUUCUGAACUUCCCAGCCGGCACAGAUAAGAGUGACAAAUCUGUGGGGGAAAAAUGACAAUAUCCUUUUGCUUUUAGGGAGAAAAACGUUCCAAAGAGGAUGUGAGCUACGACAAAAGGAGGCCUUGUCCACCCUUCACACAGGAGGUGCAAAUGUCACCUCAGCACUGAGCAGAUUAGGCUGGGUGCAGCCUUGAGUGCCCUUGAGCUUCUCUGGGCAGCUGUGCCAGGGCCUCACCGCCCUCCCAGGGAAGAAUUUCUUCCCAAAAUCCACUUCCAGCUGCCCUGCCAUGACCAGGGACAUCUGUAACUCGAGCAGAUUUCUCAGAUCCCCAUUGCUCAGCCCUGCCAUGCUCCUGGCUCCCCCUUCCACAGAGGAUUUAACCCCUUUUGUGUGCUUUUCCCCCUCUCAUCCAUCACAGCAGCUGCUUUCCUGCCCUGCAGAAGCUGCCGGGGCGGUCAGGAAACACGAUCUGCCCUGCAGGGCUGGGGAGGGAGAAGAGAGAGGAGAACAGCAGCAGUGAGGGCAGCAGGGAGCUGGGGGAUGUGGACGGGAUGCAAUGGGGUGUUUGGGGCAGCAGGAGCUGUGGGCUGGAUGCAGAGAGAGCUGCAGAUGAAGAGAAAUGCUCUGGAGCUGCAUUCCCGAGGAUGGAGCCUUGGGGUAGCACAGGGGGCAUUUUACUGAGAGGAGAAGGAUCCAUUCCCUGGAAGGAUCCAUUCCCUCCCAAGAGCAGCAGUUUCGGGGUUGCCUGCAGAGCCCCACCUCUGUCUGAGGGACACCUCACAGCAACCCCUCGGCUCAGCAAACCCUGCUGAGCUCCAGAGCACCUCCUCAAAGCCCAGCGGCGUUCUGGCCCUACCAAAUGCAGCAAUUUGCAUCCCAUCCGAAAGCCUGUGCACCCCUCAGUGCUGCAUCCCUGCGCUCCAUCCCCUCCUGGGCUGUUUCCUGGGGAGCUCAGAGGGUGUCAGCACCAGAGCUCUUUUCCCUCUUCCCAAGCCCUGACACUGUGCCAGAAUCCUGUUCCAACCACACGCAUUUCACGUUGAUUUCCAGUGUGGUUGAAAGGGGAGGAGGGGGAGAGGCCAUAAAUAUUCCUUCCCAGUGCUGCUGCCUGAGCCUGGGAAUACCUCAAGGCGUGGGAUGGGCUGUGUGGGGCUGGCUCUGUGGGACAGGCCUGUGCAGCCCCAGGGGGCUCCUUCAUCCCCCCAGAUGUGUCCCCACCGCUGGGUGAGUAAAUCCUCCCCUGGCAGGCAGAGUUUUGGGGAGCAGAGAGGACCUGGCCUUGCUCCUGGCACUGCCUCUAUUUUCAUAUUUCCACUUUCCCCCUGGCUCCAAGCACAGGGACAUGGAUGUAGAACAAACCCUUUUGUUCUGUAAUAAAGCAGCCGUUCCCUUCACCUUUUUGCAACAUUAUCCAUGAAAUUCGGACGUUCCUGAGUGUAUGUUCAGGAGGCUCCUCAGCCUGCAGCCACUGCCAGCACAGACCUGCCACAGUGACCCCUCUCAGCAGUCGUGGUUGGUCUGAAUUCAGCCUUCUGCUUGGUGUGACUCUGCAUGUCCCCUGCUGUCCCCACGGCAUGGGCCUGCUCCCUGCUACCAGCUGCAUUCUUUGCUUCCAACAUAUGGCCUCAAUUACUGUCCCUCUCCCUUGAUUUCCUGCCUCUCUGGGUUUCCUGAAGCUCAUCCCCUCCUCCUGGCAGCUUGAACUCCUGCAGUGAGAUGCUUUGCAAGCUCACAUUCCUCCCUCCCUCCUGCUGCUUUGCAGCCUCCACUGAGGGGGUUCUGAUCCAGAGCAGGCACAGAUGAGGCUCAGACCCCCCCCAGGUGCUGUCACUGAGCCCAGGAGCCCCAAGGGCCUGGCUGGCCACAGCCAAACUGCCCAGCCCAGUGUCCAGCAGGGCUUUGUCCAUCUCCUGUGGACAGAGGUCCCCACCCUCCCUCAGCAUCCAUCCCACAUCACCCUGUGGUUUUCAGCCAACUGCUCCAUUUGCAAGGCUCAGCCUCCUUUUUAUUGCCAUCCCCUCCUGAGGCCGGGGGCUUUCCAAGCCUCUGCCCUUUGAAAGGAGCACCAAACCUCUCUGGGUUUCCCCUGGGUGCUUUUUGGCCUCUUUCCUGGGCAUUUUCCCCUGCAGAAAAGCCAUGUGCCUCUCAAGGCUUUGGAGGAGGGGAGAGGGCUCUGCCAGUGGCUCUUCAGCCCCUUCCUGCCUCCCAGGCCCUGCAGCAUCAGAGUGCUGCAGAUCCUGAGGAAUCUGAGCUUGCUCAGGGCGCAGGGGGAGGUGGAAGUGGUUAAACCCCACAAACGCAGCAGUUAAUGAUUCCCAUCCCCUCGCUGGCAUGUCUCAGCCUUUGUGAAGGGCUCUGGCCAGCAGCUGUGCCAGCAACUGCAGCUCCAAAGGAGCAUUUUCUUUCUGUGUCAGCUUUCAUCCGUGGCCCCUCUGCGUUCCCCUGGUGCCUGCAGAUGCCAGAGUUUCCAGGGCUCCUGCUGCUACAAGUCCCUGGGACUUUUCCCUCCCAUCCCAGCGAUGGAGCUGUGUGAUGGGGAGAGUGAAGAAGGCACUGCUGGCUCCGUGUCUGCUCCCUGUCCCAUCCUCCCCCAAGCACAGGAGAGGCUUUUUCCCAGGACAGAAAGGACUCAGCAGCAUUUGGGAAUGGCAGGAACAGCUGAGAGGCUGCACCUCUGAUAGCAGAAGUGCAGGGGAGCAAUUUGGGAUGCGGCUGGGGAUAGCAACAUCGACAGCUGAGAGCUCCACAGCCACGUUCAGCUGCUGUGGCACCACUGUACAAUAAAAUUAAUAUAUUGUACAUAUACUAAUAUUCAUAUAUUAUAUAUUGUGUAAUAAACUGUAUUAAGCUGGGCACAGUUUUCUGAUUCUCCUACCCCCAGCAGGAACAGAUUGGUUGAGCAAUCACUGACAGAGUCCCCAUCCCUGGCAGCGUUCAGAAAGUCUGGAUGUGGCACUUGGGGACGUGGUUCAGAGGUGGACACAGCGGUGCUGAGAAUUUGAUGAUGUUAAAGUUGUCCUUUCCAACCUUACCGAUUCUGUGAUACCUUGAAAUGUGUGGCACCUCCCUAAAUUCCUCCUCACCUUCUCCUGAUGCCUCCUCCUGUUGCAAGCAGUGAUGGAAGCACGGAGAGGGAAAAGUCUAAAUUUCUGAAAUCAGACAUAAAGGGGUUUUUAGAAAUCCUUGUGUGCACACAAGCUGGAGGGGAGUGGAUGAAGCACAGAGGUGAGGAUCCAGGUCACAACACCCUUCCUCGGCCUGCCACCCCCCCUGAGUACUUUGGAAUGAAUUCAUUCCAGUUCCCAUGGGGCCACCACCCCGUCCCAUCCUCAGAGACCCUUCACAGCCCCCUAAACCCACCACAAGCAGUGGAAGACCCUCAAAAGCCCCAAUAGGUGCCAGUCACUCAAACCCGCCCCCAAAACCUGGAUCCCCGCCCCGGCGGUGAAUUUGGGCGGGUUUGCUGCCAGAGGAGCGUCCCCGCAGCCCAAACCCCGGCGCUGGGAGCUGGCUCCUUCCCAGGACACCCCAAAGCUCCAGGGGGAGCCAACGGGAGCCCCCAGCCCCUCCAGCCGCCCCUCGCUGCCCCCACGGCCGGCGCUGGCAGCCGGGUUCGCCCCCCACGCUGGUUUGGGGUGCCGGCAGGUGGCGGCCUGGGCAGGCGGCACGGGCAGCCUCUCGCAGAUGUUUAAUGGGAUUUCAGAGCUCUGGGAUUCAUCGGAGCUGUUGUCACGGAAACGCAGAUCUGCGAGAGCCCGGGCGCUCGGCGUUAACCCGCUCGGUGCCGGGGAGGAUGCGCCGGAGGGGAGCGGUGCGCGCCCGGAGCUCCCACCCCCGCCUGGCUUUGUAUGGUCAGCUGUUUUCUUUAGGAUUGGGGUUCUAAACGCCUUUUAAAAUCUGCCUCGGUGCUGCUGGAGCCCCGGGGCUCCAGGAGGAAUGUCCUGUCUCCUGCCUGCGUGUCCUGGUCCUCUCCUCAAGUUCGAGAGGUUCCCACACAACAAAAUGAGCUGGGCCAGUGGGUGAUCUUGGGUGCCAUUCUCCCAUCCGAGGGGGAAAUAUCCCACUAAUGCACAUCCCCACCCUGCUGGGCGCCUCCUCUGGGGCUGGGGCUGGACAGGAGAGGGCACCAGAGCUGCGCUGCCGCUGGGGCGGUGGCCGGGCAUGUGUCCCCCCCGCACGUGGCUCCCCCCGGGGUGACACCGCUGCCAGCGGGGAGGACCGGCAGCUGCGGCCGGGGCUAAUCUCCUUAGGGCUGAGCACGGGAGUGAAAGGGAGAUUAGAGGGCAAGGGGGCUUUGGCAGCCCGGGGUGCUUGUUGGAGACAGCCGGGCCGAGCAGAGAGGGACAGGACCCCGGGGGAGGUGAGAGGAGCAGCCAGAGAGGCCCCAGCGGGCAGCAAGUAACAGCUGGGGGCUCUGAGGAAGGGAAAGCCUGGAGGAACGUGCCCAAAAAUCCUCGUGGAGCAUUCCCCACCUCCUUCUCCCCAGGAGGAAGGUGUUGCCAGGCAGUCUGGGCCCUGAUCCAUUCCCUCUCAUCCGGAGGGGGGAGCUGGAUGCCUUCCACCCUCCCAUCACACUCAGGGGCAUGAAAACAUUCCCUAAAACAUAUCCAGAAUGGAAACCCCCUGGACUUUGCCCUGGGCAUGAGAUGUGGAAGAACAGGACAUGGAAUAUUUGCUGUCCUUUCCCAUGGCAGGGCAGGAAGAAGGUGCCAUUUUCUGGAGCAGGGCAGGGUGUGAGGCUGCUGCUCCCGAAGGCUCCUGAGGCGUUCCUGGGCUCCAUUCCCUGCUGCUGUCACGGCUCCUGUGCUUUCCCUGCCCGUGGCUGGCGGGGCAGGAGUGGUGGAUGUUCCACAGGGAGCUCUGCAGUCCUGCCCGAGCAGGGGAGCGUGGCAGGGCAGGGGGUGCUCACCGAGCUGUGCCUGUGCUGUGCUCCCUCCCACAGGGAGCUCCAGGGCUGCAGGGCAUGGAAAAAGGCAGUACCUGCUCUCACUGAGUAGUGUUUGUUCCUUCUCUCAGCUGUCAAGGAAACCACGGCCGCAUACCCAGCUGGGAUUGCUGCGGUUGCUGACGUGUUCUGGCCUUUUAAUCCGGAUCCAGAGCAGCUUCUCCACCCUCCAUUUGUGCUGGCUGACAGAGCACCUUCCACGGUGCCAUCGUCUGUUCUCCUGCCCAGAAUGGGGCCCAGAAUGGCAAAGUUUUUCUUAGAAUCAUAAAAUUACUGAACAGUUUGGGCUGAAAGGGACAUUUAAAGGUCAUCUGGUUCCAACUCCAACCAUCUUCCACCAGGGAAGAAGAGUGGGGGAGGAAGAUCUCUCAACCAACUUGGAAAAAGAAAACCAGAGCAGAGAGGAUCUCAAAAGGAUUUUCCUGGCCUGGAUGCUUUUCCAAUUGAACUCCAUGAACAGAGGGAUGCUCCACGUGUGUGCUGUCCAUGGAAUAUCUGCAGUAGUUAAAACCUCAAAGCCCCCUCUGAGAUCCAGAAAUCCCUGGGAAUGGAAAGAAAGGAAAGAGAGGAAGGAAAAGCGGAAACAGCAAAGCCAGCGAGGUGACAAGGAAUGGAGCAUCCCUGAGACCACCAGCUGCUCCAGCUGGACAUCGAUCCUGGAAAAAGGCAGAAAGCUGCUGGACCCGAAUGAGCCUUCACCCAGCAUCGCUUGGGACUGGCACAGACCUGGCUGCUGUCACAUCCCUGCAGGAGGAGGCAGGCUGACCCCAGGGUAAGAGCUGGGGCACUGGGAAGGUGGAGAAGGAAACUGGGUGACUGGAAUGCUCAUGGAGAGAGGGCAUUGGCACCCUCUGGUCUGGGAGAGCCCCCCAGGGGGGCUGAGCCAGGACAGGGUUGGCAGCAGGGGCUGGGGACAUGGCUGGGGUCACCAUUCCUGCAGGAGCCCCUGCACACCAGAGCACUCCUGGGAGCACUGGUCCCCCCAGGGUCACACAGAACUUUGGGAGCUCUUUGUUUUAAUGCACUUUUCACAGAAUCACAGAAAGGUUUGGGUUGGGGGGGACUUUAAUGCUCGCCUUGUCCCAACCCCACCAUGGGCAGGGACACCUCCCACUGGAGGAGAUUGCUCCGAGCUUUCACAUUCAAUAACUGUAAGAGCUCAAUAGUAACAAUAAUUCCAAAAUUUUCUCAGCAUUUGGGGAAUCCUGGGGCUCUUUAUCACUCCACGGGCUGGGAGCUCUAACAAAAGCCGAGCGAGCCGAGGACAGCGUGUCCCCUGCGCCAGGUCAGUCCCGCGGCCCCUCCCGGCACAGGGCAGGGCCACCGGUCCCUCCCGGCAGCGACAGCGCUGGGAGCGGCUCCUUGUGAGAGAGCCCGCUGCCCGCCCCCAGCGCUGUCCUGCUCUGCCAUCCCUGUGCCAUCCCUGUGCCAUCCCUGUGCCAUCCCUCUGCCAUCCCUGUGCCACCCCUGUGCCAUCCCUCUGCCAUCCCUCUCUCAUCCCUGUGCCAUCGCUGUGCCAUCCCUGUGCCAUCCCUGUGCCAUCGCUGUGCCAUCCCUCUCCCAUCCCAGGCCCUGCGGGUCCAGCAGAGCCGGAUCUGUGCAGAACGGCGGGCACGGACGGGCCCUUGGGAGGAGGCGGGGCCGUUUCUGCACAGGAGCUCUGUGCUGGAAAGGGGGAAGGGAGAGAAGAAGGGGGAAGGGAAAUGAUCUCCCCUUUAGAAAGGAGAUUUUAGAAGGCAGAUUUUGCUCUGGUUCAGCCUCUGGCCGCUGUCCAGUGCUGCCUUGGGAAGGCUGACCUGGAACAGGGACUGGACAGAGCUGGAGAAUAAAGUAGAUAUUUAUUGAAAAACUUUUAGGGUACACCUUGGGCAGGACAGGGCCUGGCCAGAGAUACACCCAAGGUGGACCCAAAAUGACACAAAAUGGACAAAUGGUCAUGAGGUCUCACACUUUGAUAAGCUUUGGUCCAUUUGCAUAUUGGGGUUAAUUAUCCAAUUACAGCUUCAGGUGAUGCAGUCCCAUCCUUCCUGUUCCUCCCUUCAGCCACCCUUGUUUGUGCUUUUGGGCCUGAAAACUUGUACCAGUCGUCCUUGGUCUCCAUUUCUUCUUUUCUCUUGGAAAAGGAUUUGUUUUGUGUCCCUGCUCUGUGAAGAGAGCUGACACUGAGUGUGAGGCUUAGAACUGCACCCCUGGGCAGCACAGAAUCCAAAAAACAGGAAAGCUGAAGGCAUCACCAGGGACUCCCUGCUCAGACCUGGGUGAACCACAGCUCCCCUGUGGCUGCAGGGGUGUGGGAUGGAGCACUGGACACACGGCUUGGCCCCCUCCCAUCCCUUCAGGAGGGGGUGAGGGAGUCAAGAAGGGCGGGUAGGACAAUUAAGGCACUGGUCUCGCUGCCUUCCCAGCACCUGGGCUGUGAGAGGGCUCCUUGUGGGGCUGUGCCACCCUCAUGGCAGGGUGCCAGUGCUGGUCAGGGAAGGCAGGAGCUGCCAAAUGCCCUGGAAAGCUUCAAAGUGUGAGAGAAAUUGGGAUAUGUGAGCUGAAUCCGAGCCAGCCUGGAGCCCUGCCUGGGGGCCUGCAUUUCCUUGUAGCAGCUCCCUUUUCUUCCUGGCUGUGCAGCUGUGGGAAAGGGAUGCUCUGAGAGCUCGGUGUUACCAUGACAGCUUCUAUGUACAAAAAAAUGGAGAAAUAAACAUGA